Carassius carassius (crucian carp) is the source of this 2190-nucleotide long non-coding RNA. RefSeq lists it as uncharacterized. The transcript is spliced from 2 exons. The record is from RefSeq and is a predicted model, not a curated record. Lineage: Eukaryota; Metazoa; Chordata; Actinopteri; Cypriniformes; Cyprinidae.
GUGUUUAUUUUCGCCUUGCGUUUAAUGAACUGGUCAGUGGAGGAGAAUGAAUGUAUACAAAAUAUUUGCUAAAAAAAAGUUUUAGGAUAUGUCAUCAAGACAAAAACUGCAAUUAUCUUCGCAAUAGACCAGGAGAAAACGCUAGAUUGGAUUUUUAACCAAUUUACGAAAAUUAAUGCAUGUAAACAUAACUAAUAUGCGAUUUCUCAGGACAUUUUAUCCAUGUUAUUCCCCAAAAAAGCUUUGUCAUGGCUUGAAAUACUUCCCAUGAUGCUUUGGAUCUGCAAAAUGUUGCUGGACAAACCAAAUCACAGAAGCCAGUUUCACAGUCAAUCAGUCUCGCUGUGUCCCUCUGAACUGUCCCAGUUCUUGUUCUGCCCCAUACACAAACAUAUGUUUUUCUAAACUCACCUUCUCAUUGAAACCUUCAGUUUCAAACAAAUACGACUUGUACAUACCUUAAUGAAACUCUUCCAACAUCAGUUUACAUCAGCAAUUUUCUGUCCAAAUAGGAAGCUUUUUUCUAUUUUUUCAUUACCGUCAUUUAAUACAGUCAGGAGACCAAUGAAAAAAAAAUCAAGCAAAAUCAAAUAUAUUUACUUAUUACUGUAUCUUGGAUUACUGUUGCAAUAAUUAGCUUUAUUUAAUAUAAGAACAUGCUCAUUGGACAGUAUGAAAUUCUGAUUGAUGUUCUAGAACUUGAAUGUUCCUAUUGGGUGACUUUAUAUCCUGCUGGACAGGAUAAUAGAUCUAGAAUAAUUAUACUAAUACAUACCAUUCAGCCAGGUCCUUUAAACAUUUUGAACUGAAUUGACUCAUUUCUUAGAUUUUGCACUAUUCGUCUAUUAAGAUGCUCUGACGUGUGCUUAAAUUGUUUCAGAGACAUUAACCGUUUCAUUCUGAAAUAACAGACCAGACUUGAUGCAAAUUGAGUUGUUAAAUUCCUGUCUGGCAUUUUGGAGCUUGUUUAAGAUCAAAGUUUGGCUGGUAAGCUUAGCUUAACUAAUCUGACCAUGAUUUUGGUCAAAGUGGGCGAAAUUUAGUUUCUCCAUUGAUGCCCAUUCAAAAUCAGCCGUGUAUUCUGAAAUAAACUGAAUAUAUAAAUUGCAAAAAAGUCAUUGUAUUAGAUGUUCAACCUUUUUUUCCAUAAUAAACCAAAUACAUAAAUUGUAUAAAUCUAUUUCUAUAAAUGUAUAAAUCUCACUUUCGAAAAUGUUUUACUUAAGUCUGAAUUGAAACUGUCACGUGACCUUUACGGCUCAGCUGAUUGGCUCCAAAACAAUUCUUCAGACCUAACUGUGCAUGAAGCAAAAAUAUUGUUAAAUUAGACUUAUAAUAAUGGUUUUAUUAUUCAUAGCUGAUAAAAGGCUCCCCGGCUCUUUUCUUUAUCCUCUCUCUGCUUGUUAAAUGUCCUCGCCGUGAUCCCUGUGGAAGGGGCUGCCAUAAACUCUGUUCUCAUUGUUUAUUUCUCUCACGCUCUCUCUCUUCUCAACAUUAUUACUUUGUCCUUUUGGUCCUACGCUGUUUGCUGCCCCUGACAAUAGUCUGUUUUGAACUAAAAUGAAAUCAGACAUUGCAAUAUCAGCCCAUAAGCCAUUCAUUUAUUUUGCCAUUUGCCUUCAAAUUGAUCCUGUGAAGUUGAGAUAAUGGAAUAAAGGACUUUCCUGUGCAAAACUCAGCUUUAAAGUUUGGUUUAUGGGUAAUUCCUACUGUGAAUCACACAUCCAAUCCAGUACAUGUCUUAUGAAUAAACUUAAUUAUUAAAGAUCACUAUUAAGUGAACAGAGUGAGUUGUUAAUACAGUGGAUGUUGCCAAUUUAUUGCCAAUGGUUCAAACAAAUCAUGUUUACAGGUGCAUAUUGUUUUAACUGGUAAUCAUUUUUAUUUCAACUUUCCAUUCUACUGGUCUUUUGUGAAAUCCCUUAAACAAACAAAAGCCAUGUUUACUUAAGAACAUUAUUUUAUUUUGCAAACAGCAGUGAAAACAUCAGUAAGUUUUAGCAAUGGAUUUAAAUAAUUGCUUGAUGUUUUGUGAUAUCAGUUUGUUAGUGUCACUCUAAAACAUUCAAAAUGAACUUCAGGUUAAAAAGUUUUAAAGAAUGACCUCAAUCCUUCACUGAGGAAUGACUAACUUUAGCUCCAUUGUGUAAAUAAUAAUGAAUAAAGUUGAAGUGUCUGAUCUUGACCAGA